CACGACUCAGUCCUCCAUGUGGCAGCAUGGAGUUUUCCUGCCUUUGAUCCUUUCUUGUGGUUUGACACUUACCCUGCUCCCUCUGGGGUCCAGGCUAGUGAAAAACUAAGCUGAUAAGAGGGGAUCUUUGUUAAAAUGGAGAAAACAGACAGGGAAUCUGUGCAGUUAGGAUCCUGGAAGGAAAUGGGUGGGAUCGUUCAGGAGAGUGUCGUGAGAGACCGUUUCCAAGGGUGUGAGAUGGGUAAGGGGAACCACCAACAAUGGUGGAGGUCAUUACCAAACACAGGCCAGAAGGGCAGGGAGAACGCUGGUGACCAGCACCCGGAAGCCGCUGACAGUGUGGGCUUUGGAAGACGAACACAGCAAUUGGGAGGAGAUGAUCCAGGUGCUUGUCCUUGACGGUGUCUGUCUCCACGGAGGAUAGUGGAUUCUGGAGCCAGGAAGAAAGAGAGUGCAACAAGGCAGCUAUGCCUCCGAAGGCCACUUCAUGCCUCUGCUCUUCUUUCUCAAUCUCAUCGGAUGUUUAUCAAUUUAUUAAUCUUCACAAAGUACCAUAAUUUGGCUCCUUUGAUUCUCUCUCAUAUAUAUGUUUCUCUAGUCUUGUUUUAAAAAUAAUUCAUGCUGUUCUCUAUGUUUUAGUUUAUUUCUUUUUAGAUGGUUGCUUAGCAUUAAUUCUAAGCUUUCGUUCUUUUCUAAUAUCAU
This 702-nucleotide long non-coding RNA is filed under the name Equus caballus (horse). Its description in RNAcentral is "lncRNA (ENSECAG00000042120.2)". The record is from RNAcentral. Lineage: Eukaryota; Metazoa; Chordata; Mammalia; Perissodactyla; Equidae.